AGUUAGUACCAAAUAGAUAGUUACCACUGGGUUAAUAUACGGUGUCAUAGCAUGUAAGCAUAAUAGUUAUAGCAUAAUAUUUGAGCAAUACAAUAGCAUUUAUUGUACUACAAGCGGUGUGGGAUUUUAUAUCUGCUGUCUCUUGUAGAGAUCUUGUUAUAUAGGGCUGCAAUUGCUGCAGUGAGGAUGUUGCUUAAGAACUGAAAUCGAUUAAAGGUUCAG
Molecule: non-coding RNA, 222 nt
Organism: Pelobates cultripes (western spadefoot toad)
Lineage: Eukaryota; Metazoa; Chordata; Amphibia; Anura; Pelobatidae
Source: the annotation of a GenBank genome assembly